This 496-nucleotide ribosomal RNA is filed under the name uncultured bacterium. RNAcentral's name for it is "bacterial SSU rRNA". It matches the Rfam family "Bacterial small subunit ribosomal RNA", at positions 30 to 504 of the family's 1533-position model. The record is from RNAcentral.
CGAACGCUGGCGGCGUGGAUUAGGCAUGCAAGUCGAACGGAGUUUCUAGCUUUUUCGGAAACUUAGUGGCGAAAGGGUGAGUAACACGUGGGUUACCUGCCCUAGGGUUCGGGAUAACCUGUCGAAAGACGGGCUAAUACCGGAUACGUCCUGUAUCUUUCGAGAUACAGGGGAAAGAUGGGGAUCCGUAAGGACCUAUCACCCUUGGAUGGGCCCGCGGCCUAUCAGCUAGUUGGUGAGGUAAUGGCUCACCAAGGCUAAGACGGGUAGCUGGUCUGAGAGGAUGGUCAGCCACACUGGAACUGAGACACUGUCCAGACACCUACGGGUGGCUGCAGUCGAGAAUCUUUCGCAAUGGGGGAAACCCUGACGACGCGACGCCGCGUGGAGGAUGAAGGCCUUCGGGUUGUAAACUCCUGUCAGCAGGGGAGAACAAGUUGUCGGUGAAUAACUGAUAGCUUUGACAGUACCUGCAGAGGAAGCCACGGCUAACUCU